Cynara cardunculus var. scolymus (artichoke) is the source of this 243-nucleotide long non-coding RNA. RefSeq lists it as uncharacterized. Lineage: Eukaryota; Viridiplantae; Streptophyta; Magnoliopsida; Asterales; Asteraceae. The transcript is spliced from 3 exons. The record is from RefSeq and is a predicted model, not a curated record.
GCCUCUCGAUCUCUCAAGAAAGGAAGGGUUUCAGUACCAUCAUGCAGAAACAUGAUAUGUGAUGACGACGUGUUGGAUUCGUAAUGGAUCGUGUAUGCUACCUGCCGAUGCUUCCCAUUAAGUUGGAGUUGGGGGUUUUGUGAUGAAUGAUAAAAAUGAGGUUCUUGUGGUUCAAGAGAAACAUUGUGUGCACYUGAGCUUGUUGGCCUUUGGAAGUUACCAACUGGGUUCAUUCUUGCGGUA